This 21-nucleotide non-coding RNA is filed under the name Caenorhabditis elegans. The record is from RNAcentral. Lineage: Eukaryota; Metazoa; Nematoda; Chromadorea; Rhabditida; Rhabditidae.
UCGAAAAGGAGUUUUGCCGGU